AGACAAGGGUCUCCAGCAAGAGACAUCCUCAACUCCACUGCCAACCCUUAAAUGAGGUCUGGGAAGGGGGGCAUCCUGGCUCCACUCCUUCUGUCACUCAGAAGCAGCUGGGGUUCACUUUUCCAAGAAGAUCCUGCUGGAAGACUGUAGUCCAACACUAACUGUAACCAGUGGGAAGGACCAUAGGAGCUCAGAUAAAGCAGGAGAUAAUGAGACUCAAGACUGAACAAGGAUGACUCAAAUUCUGAGGUAUAAUGGACUAUGAAAACUGAGGACAAUCCAGAGUGGCUGAUGAAACAAAGGGAGGUGUUUUGAGAAAAAAAAUAGAAAAAAUAAGAGACAAAGGCACUUCUUCAGCAUUCCUCAACUCAAACCAUGAACCUUAUACAAAUGUCUACUGUUGGAAUUCUGCCUCCCAAUUACUCCAGACACAGCUCUGUACAAUGUACAGUCCCCACAAUGACUGCCAAAGGUCUUUAUUACUCCCAUAGUCCUAUCUGAGAGCUGGUCUUCUUCACCCCUAAGUUUGCCAAGGAAGGUGUCUGAAAGCAGAGGGCUGGGGAAUGGCAGAACUGGAAGAAGCGAGGAAUGACUGUACAUAGCAGUACUACUUUUGGUUUGGUUUCUUAUGUUUUUUGUUGUUGUAGUUUGCUUUUUUUUUUUUUAAAGUCUUAAGGAGUAUUACUACACUGUACAUCUUUGUUUCACAGUUUCCAAUUUCUACAUUUCUAUAGGUGCAAAAGUUUUAAAUGAAAAUUGAAAUCAUAGUCCCAUAUUCAGUCAAAAAUCAGAACAGG
This 797-nucleotide long non-coding RNA is filed under the name Gallus gallus (chicken). Its description in RNAcentral is "lncRNA (ENSGALG00010018637.1)". Lineage: Eukaryota; Metazoa; Chordata; Aves; Galliformes; Phasianidae. The record is from RNAcentral.